This is a long non-coding RNA of Podarcis raffonei (Aeolian wall lizard), 1427 nucleotides long. RefSeq lists it as uncharacterized. The transcript has 2 exons. The record is from RefSeq and is a predicted model, not a curated record. Lineage: Eukaryota; Metazoa; Chordata; Lepidosauria; Squamata; Lacertidae.
CCGCCCCUUACGCGCAGCGACCAAGGCGUGAAGGGAGUUGCAGUCCAGGGAGGGAGGCCCCACCCUUAAAGAGACAAAUAACAGACACUGGAUAUUUCAUCACAUCCCUCCUGGCUGCUGUAGGAAAAGGGACGCUGGACUAUAUGGUCUACUCUGGUCAGGUAGUUCUGAAGUAACAUACUACUGCUUGAAGCAUUGCAGCGCUACAAAGGCAAAGUAGUUGUGGUUGUGUGAACAGAAAAUGGUCAGAUGGCAGAUGAAGAUGACAACAAAGCCACAUACACAACAGGCAACAGCUGUUUAUCUCUCUUCAUUCACUGUCCCAGACUUCUUGGGAUCCUCCUGAUUAGCCUCCCUGGUCCUUUUCUCGACAGGAACCCACAUUUAUGCAAUUAAGUGUCUCAUUAAUUUUCCAGACACCUGCAGUUAUUUACUCCAGGCACCACUAGACCUUGAGUUUUUUAUGGCCCCCCUGGGAAACAUCCCUCUCUCUGCUUUGGCAUCAAGACUCAGAAAGGAUGAUCUGUAUGUAUGCUGUAACAUCCCUGACCAAUAACAUAUUCCCUGGAAGAUGGAGCAAUCUUGUUUUCUGCUCCUCUGGAGGGGAGGACCUGUACCCAUGGAUUCAAAUGAUAAAAAAUGGAGAUUCCGAGUAAACAUUAGGAAGAACUUUUCUGAUGGUAAGAUUUCUUCUGGUGGGAAGAGCUGUUCAACCUUGUAAUGGACUACCUUGGAAGGUGGUGCACUCCUCUUCACAGGUUUUAAGCAGAGGUUGGAUUGGCAUCUGCCAGAGAUUCUCUGGCUGCGAUUCCUGCAUUGCAGGGGGUCGGACUAGAUGAUUCUCUGGGAAUCCCAUCCAAUGCUACAGUUCUAUGAGUUUAUGAAUUCAUCCUUCCCAAAACAAGUCACGAACCAAAAUAUAGCCGUCCUUCAAAAAUUUACACUUCCCCAUGUUUUGCAAUGCAAUUCUCUGGCUAUGUCAUGUGCCCGCCCUCCCCAGGUGCAUAUAUAUAUAUCUAUCAAAAUCCACACAGUGAAAAUAACAUAUGCAAAUAUUAAGGUAAAUUACUUGCAAAAAAUUGCACAUUAGGUGUAUGCAUGAACAGGCAGCUGAUUUUUUGCGAAGAUGUUUUUUAAUGCAAGUUGAUGUGGAAAUGUGCAAACUGGAAAAAUUAGGGAGAAGAACUGAAAUUGAAAGGGCUAUCCAUCUACAGAGUAGCAUAAGGAAGACAUUUACCUGGUCAGAGGAAUUUCUCGUACAUUUUUUUUAAAAUAGAUAAAUAUCUACAUAGAAUAAUAGAAUUGCAGAGUAAUGGCAAGCCAGGUGUCCCCCUAUCUUAGUUUUGUCUGGCUGGUUCUUCCUGUCUAAGGGCAGAACCUGACAUUUGUCCCUAUUAAAAUUCAUUUUGCUAGUUUGGGCCCAGUUC